RNAcentral lists this ribosomal RNA (827 nucleotides) under uncultured bacterium. Its description in RNAcentral is "bacterial SSU rRNA". It matches the Rfam family "Bacterial small subunit ribosomal RNA", at positions 83 to 922 of the family's 1533-position model. The record is from RNAcentral.
UCCUCUGGAUCAGUGGCGAACGGGUGAGUAACACGUGAGUAACCUGCCCUUGACUCUGGGAUAAGCACUGGAAACGGUGUCUAAUACCGGAUACGAGCUUCAGCCGCAUGGCUAGGAGCUGGAAAGAAUUUCGGUCAAGGAUGGACUCGCGGCCUAUCAGCUAGUUGGUGAGGUAAUGGCUCACCAAGGCGACGACGGGUAGCCGGCCUGAGAGGGUGNCCGGCCACACUGGGACUGAGACACGGCCCAGACUCCUACGGGAGGCAGCAGUGGGGAAUAUUGCACAAUGGGCGCAAGCCUGAUGCAGCAACGCCGCGUGAGGGACGACGGCCUUCGGGUUGUAAACCUCUUUUAGAAGGGAAGAAGCGAAAGUGACGGUACCUGCAGAAAAAGCACCGGCUAACUACGUGCCAGCAGCCGCGGUAAUACGUAGGGUGCAAGCGUUAUCCGGAAUUAUUGGGCGUAAAGAGCUCGUAGGCGGUUUGUCGCGUCUGCUGUGAAAACUGGAGGCUCAACCUCCAGCCUGCAGUGGGUACGGGCAGACUAGAGUGCGGUAGGGGAGAUUGGAAUUCCUGGUGUAGCGGUGGAAUGCGCAGAUAUCAGGAGGAACACCGAUGGCGAAGGCAGAUCUCUGGGCCGUAACUGACGCUGAGGAGCGAAAGCAUGGGGAGCGAACAGGAUUAGAUACCCUGGUAGUCCAUGCCGUAAACGUUGGGAACUAGAUGUAGGGACCAUUCCACGGUUUCUGUGUCGCAGCUAACGCAUUAAGUUCCCCGCCUGGGGAGUACGGCCGCAAGGCUAAAACUCAAAGGAAUUGACGGAAUCGA